This 704-nucleotide long non-coding RNA is filed under the name Setaria viridis. RNAcentral's name for it is "long non-coding RNA (SVIR_LNC001024)". Lineage: Eukaryota; Viridiplantae; Streptophyta; Magnoliopsida; Poales; Poaceae. The record is from RNAcentral.
CAAAUCUUGCUUGUUUCCAUGAUUUCCCUGUUUUUGCUAAGUGCUAACUCACCGAACUCUAUGCUGUAUCCUGCAUGUGCUCUUUUCCACAAGAACACGAGAAAAAACAGAGAAGAAAAAUAGGGAGAGAAGAAAAGGAAGAAAGAAGAAGGUGCAAGCACUCUUCAGCACGACAGAGCACGUACGCACACGGUUGCAGUACCUGAGGGCUGAACCGCCGAGGCUUUGAACGAAGCUAGUUGUGCAGCGGAUUGGGGCCCUGGGGAACCAGCCUCUUCGACUCACCUUGCACCGCCCACGCGCCUGCGUCGCCGCCGACACCGGGCGCCGUCCGCGGCGGGGCGCGCGCUGCCCACAGCGCGCCACCGCCGUGCUCCGGCGCCACCGCCGCCACGGCUGGCUUCAGAAGUCUGCAGCUGCAGGUGACGGUGGCCAGCUCGAUCCCCAGAAACAGCAGCAACAGAAGCAUGGCCGGCGAUGGAGCGUGCCUCAUGGUGCAAGAAGAGGCGAGGAGCGGAUUGGAAGGGUGGUUUUCCUAGCUUCUCUGCGGGGUCAGCUCUGCAAGUGCAAGCUAGCAAGAGAGAUCACCAGAUGGCCGCCUGCAGCCUGCAGGUCGAUCAGCUCAUGGCUGCUCAGAAGCUUCAGAUGACCCGUGGUCUCGGGUGAAGGCGGCACAUGUUUAUAUUUUCCUUGGUUCGUGUGGG